UGGGGAAUCUUGCACAAUGGGGGAAACCCUGAUGCAGCGACGCCGCGUGAGCGAUGAAGGUUUUCGAAUCGUAAAGCUCUGUCCUAUGGGAAGAUAAUGACGGUACCAUGGGAGGAAGCCCCGGCUAACUACGUGCCAGCAGCCGCGGUAAUACGUAGGGGGCGAGCGUUGUCCGGACUUACUGGGCGUAAAGGGUUCGCAGGCGGUAUGGCAAGUCCGAUGUAAAAGGCGAAGGCUCAACCUUCGUAAGCAUCGGAAACUGUCAAGCUUGAGUGAAGGAGAGGCAAGUGGAAUUCCUAGUGUAGCGGUGGAAUGCGUAGAUAUUAGGAGGAAUACCGGUGGCGAAGGCGACUUGCUGGACUUCAACUGACGCUGAGGGACGAAAGCGUGGGUAGCAAACAGG
RNAcentral lists this ribosomal RNA (403 nucleotides) under Fusobacteriota bacterium. Its description in RNAcentral is "Fusobacteria bacterium partial 16S ribosomal RNA". It matches the Rfam family "Bacterial small subunit ribosomal RNA", at positions 355 to 776 of the family's 1533-position model. The record is from RNAcentral. Lineage: Bacteria; Fusobacteriati; Fusobacteriota.